Molecule: ribosomal RNA, 253 nt
Filed under: uncultured bacterium
Lineage: Bacteria
Description: partial 16S ribosomal RNA
Rfam family: Bacterial small subunit ribosomal RNA
Source: RNAcentral
UACGUAGGGUGCGAGCGUUAAUCGGAAUUACUGGGCGUAAAGUGUGCGCAGGCGGCCGAGCAAGUCGAGUGUGAAAGCCCCGAGCUUAACUUGGGAACUGCGCUCGAAACUACUUGGCUAGAGUGUGGCAGAGGGAGGUGGAAUUCCACGUGUAGCGGUGAAAUGCGUAGAGAUGUGGAGGAACACCGAUGGCGAAGGCAGCCUCCUGGGCCAACACUGACGCUCAUGCACGAAAGCGCGGGGAGCAAACAGG